GAUGAACGCUGACAGAAUGCUUAACACAUGCAAGUCAACUUGAAUUUGGGUUUUUACCUUAGGUUUGGGUGGCGGACGGGUGAGUAACGCGUAAAGAACUUGCCUCACAGCUAGGGACAACAUUUGGAAACGAAUGCUAAUACCUAAUAUUAUGAUAAUAGGGCAUCCUAUAAUUAUGAAAGCUAUAAGCGCUGUGAGAGAGCUUUGCGUCCCAUUAGCUAGUUGGAGAGGUAACGGCUCACCAAGGCGAUGAUGGGUAGCCGGUCUGAGAGGGUGAUCGGCCACAAGGGGACUGAGACACGGCCCUUACUCCUACGGGAGGCAGCAGUGGGGAAUAUGGGACAAUGGACCGAGAGUCUGAUCCAGCAAUUCUGUGUGCACGAUGAAGUUUUUCGGAAUGUAAAGUGCUUUCAGUUGGGAAGAAACAAAUGACGGUACCAACAGAAGAAGUGACGGCUAAAUACGUG
Molecule: ribosomal RNA, 467 nt
Filed under: uncultured bacterium
Lineage: Bacteria
Description: partial 16S ribosomal RNA
Rfam family: Bacterial small subunit ribosomal RNA
Source: RNAcentral